RNAcentral lists this ribosomal RNA (254 nucleotides) under uncultured bacterium. RNAcentral describes it as "partial 16S ribosomal RNA". It matches the Rfam family "Bacterial small subunit ribosomal RNA", at positions 524 to 776 of the family's 1533-position model. The record is from RNAcentral.
UACGUAGGUGGCGAGCGUUGUCCGGAUUUACUGGGCGUAAAGAGCGCGCAGGCGGUCGUACAAGUCGCGUGUGAAAGCCCCCCGGCUCAACUGGGGAGGGUCACGCGAUACUGUUCGACUCGAAGGCAGGAGAGGGAAGUGGAAUUCCCGGUGUAGUGGUGAAAUGCGUAGAUAUCGGGAGGAACACCAGUGGCGAAGGCGACUUCCUGGCCUGUUCUUGACGCUGAGGCGCGAAAGCGUGGGGAGCAAACAGG